AUCCCUAUCCCCCACCGGAUCCAGUCGCACCCCCACUCAGCCGUCUUUUGCCCGAAUCCGAGUACUCUUUGGACCUGCGGCGGCUGCUUGAAUCCCCGGCGUAGCAGUGAUGGAAGAUGCCGGCCUUGAAUUCUUGCAGGAUACCGUCGACCGAUUUCUCGUCCAGGAGGAGUUUGUCGACAGCCUUGAACACCCAGAUCCAGUACCUCUUGCAUUGUUAACGCCUGACGAAGUGAAUCCAGCCGCCAGGAAGCCCGGAAUGUUGCAUCUGGAUGCGGCAGCAAGUUGACGGUGGUGGCGCUGGUAGGCCGAGCUGUGGCGACCGACGGUAGCGGGAGAUAUCACCCACUGCGUCUGCGCAAUCUAUUGACAGGGUAACCCAGAAACACCUGGAUGGACGAAGAGGAUAAUUGUUUUGUGUUGUUUACCGCUGUACGUUCAUUGACAUGCUCAUCCUGGGGCUAUAUUAAUUUAUUUUUGGUCUCACUUGAAUUAA
Triticum urartu is the source of this 496-nucleotide non-coding RNA. NCBI's taxonomy places the organism in Eukaryota, Viridiplantae, Streptophyta, Magnoliopsida, Poales, Poaceae. The record is from RefSeq and is a predicted model, not a curated record.